RNAcentral lists this ribosomal RNA (498 nucleotides) under uncultured bacterium. RNAcentral describes it as "partial 16S ribosomal RNA". It matches the Rfam family "Bacterial small subunit ribosomal RNA", at positions 30 to 523 of the family's 1533-position model. The record is from RNAcentral.
AUUGAACGCUGGCGGCAGGCCUAACACAUGCAAGUCGAGCGGUUGAGGUAGCUUGCUACCGAUGCAGCGGCGGACGGGUGAGUAAUACAUGGGAAUCUGCCUGGUCGUGGGGGACAACGUUUCGAAAGGAACGCUAAUACCGCAUACGACCUACGGGGGAAAGGGGGGUGUCUUCGGAACUUUCGCUAUCAGAUUAGGCCAUGUCGGAUUAGCUUGUUGGUGAGGUAAAGGCUCACCACGGCGACGAUCCGUAACUGGUCUGAGAGGAUGAUCAGUCACACUGGAACUGAGACACGGUCCAGACUCCUACGGGAGGCAGCAGUGGGGAAUAUUGGACAAUGGGCGCAAGCCUGAUCCAGCCAUGCCGCGUGUGUGAAGAAGGCCUUAGGGUUGUAAAGCACUUUCAGUGGGGAGAAAGGUUAUUCACCUAAUACGUGAGUAAAUUGAUGUUACCCACAGAAGAAGCACCGGCUAACUCCGUGCCAGCCGCCGCCGUAA